CCUGCUCUAUGACGGCGGCAGGCUAAACCGCACCUUCGGACGCCUGCCGCCCGACCCCUGCGGC
Regulatory RNA element from Chlorella variabilis, 64 nucleotides. It matches the Rfam family "Selenocysteine insertion sequence 1". From Rfam's summary of the family: The incorporation of selenocysteine into a protein sequence is directed by an in-frame UGA codon (usually a stop codon) within the coding region of the mRNA. Selenoprotein mRNAs contain a conserved secondary structure in the 3' UTR that is required for the distinction of UGA stop from UGA selenocysteine. The record is from Rfam. Lineage: Eukaryota; Viridiplantae; Chlorophyta; Trebouxiophyceae; Chlorellales; Chlorellaceae.